AGGAUGGAAAUAGAUAACAUUCUUUAGAAAACCACUGCCACAAUUAGUGCUUUCAAAUCGGCAUAAUGGUGGAUGGUUUGGUUUACACAUUUCUUACCUGAAUAAAGUAUUGGAACCUUCUGCAUGGGAAAUUCCUGAAUACUUUUCCAGAGCUUUAUUUUAUAAACUGGAAAGGCAAUGAAAAUAUAGGGGUAGGUGAAGGGAAGAGCACUAUAUGAUUUAAACUAUUUGAAAGCUUUCCCUGGAUAAUGGAUUUGAAAUAGAACAGGAUACUGUAGCAUAACUGAUGAGAACAUGAUUUACUGUGGCCACCUGAAGCCCAGGGACUGCUUAUUGUCACUGAAGAGAAUAGGUGAACUUAAUGAAAUAGGAAACCAUGAUGUGUGAGGGACGUUCACACAGUAAUCAAAAGCCGGCUAUACUUAGACAGUGAAUUUUUGAUGCAAGUUCCUGUGCCAGGAAUUGAAUCUUAGCUGCAGCUGUGACCUGUGCAGCUGCAGCAAUGCAAGAUUCUCUAACCCACUGUACUGGGCUGGGGAUCAAACCCACACCUCUGCAGCAACCUGAGCUCCUGCAGUCUGAUUCUUAACCCACUGAUUGGGUUGCUUAACUAGCUAACCCUAGUCUUUGUAACUGGAGUCAACUUUCCAUAAUGAUUGAAACUCCUUUUAUACUUUGGAUCUUUUUCUGCAAAGUUUUAAGAGGUGGAUCGACCUAAGUUGAAUUGAACUUUUCAAGCGGCUAUGUUUUUAUGAUUACUUUUUAAUUGUAGUAAGCAACUAUAUACUGCCAGUAAAAAAUGGAAAUGGUGCGUAUAAACCUCAUUCAUUGAUUUGUUCCCUAACCCCAGGCCCUUUCUUUUCUCUUCUCAGAUAAGAACUAUCAGCGGUUUUGUGAAUACUGUUAUUUUGCUUUUACUCUGUUACAUGAGUAUCCUCAUAUCCCUCUGGGAAAUACUUAAUUUCCUUGUUCUUUUAUUUUUCAAUAUAGAGGGUGUAAUAUGUAUGGUUUUAUGUGUGUGCAUAUGUGUGUGUGUGUAUAUAUUAUUGCUUUUGCAUAACUAUUUGCCCUGUUUGUGCCUUGCAUAUGUUGUCCACAUUUCGUUCAUAUAUAUUUGCUUCAUGUUUUAAACUGCCGUCUAGUAUUUUCUUACUGUGGCUAUUCCACAGUUACUGAAGCUGUUCUGCAGUUGUUUAUUUGUUUCUCCAUUAUUAGAUGUUUAGAUUGUUUGUAUUUUCUUGACAUUAAGAUAGAUACUUGACUGGGGAGUUCCCUGUUAGGGCGCAGCAGAAACGAAUCUGACUAGGAACCAUGAGGUUUCGGGUUUGAUCCCUGGCCUCACUCAGUGGGUUGGGUUAAGCAUCUGGCAUUGCUCUGAGCUCUGGUGUAGGUUCCAGAUGCAGCUUGUAUCCUGCAUUGCUGUGGCUGAGGUGUAGGCCAGCAGCUACAGCUCAGAUUCAACCCCUAGCCUGGGAACUUCCAGAUGCC
RNAcentral lists this long non-coding RNA (1488 nucleotides) under Sus scrofa (pig). Its description in RNAcentral is "lncRNA (ENSSSCG00060070168.1)". Lineage: Eukaryota; Metazoa; Chordata; Mammalia; Artiodactyla; Suidae. The record is from RNAcentral.